RNAcentral lists this ribosomal RNA (497 nucleotides) under uncultured bacterium. RNAcentral's name for it is "partial 16S ribosomal RNA". It matches the Rfam family "Bacterial small subunit ribosomal RNA", at positions 28 to 507 of the family's 1533-position model. The record is from RNAcentral.
GAUGAACGCUGGCGGCGUGCCUAAUACAUGCAAGUCGAGCGAACGGACGAGAAGCUUGCUUUUCUGAUGUUAGCGGCGGACGGGUGAGUAACACGUGGAUAACCUACCUAUAAGACUGGGAUAACUUCGGGAAACCGGAGCUAUUACCGGAUAAUAUUUUGAACCGCAUGGUUCAAAAGUGAAAGACGGUCUUGCUGUCACUUAUAGAUGGAUCCGCGCUGCAUUAGCUAGUUGGUAAGGUAACGGCUUACCAAGGCAACGAUGCAUAGCCGACCUGAGAGGGUGAUCGGCCACACUGGAACUGAGACACGGUCCAGACUCCUACGGGAGGCAGCAGUAGGGAAUCUUCCGCAAUGGGCGAAAGCCUGACGGAGCAACGCCGCGUGAGUGAUGAAGGUCUUCGGAUCGUAAAACUCUGUUAUUAGGGAAGAACAUAUGUGUAAGUAACUGUGCACAUCUUGACGGUACCUAAUCAGAAAGCCACGGCUAACUACGUG